UUCUUAUGCUGUCCAGGCAAAAUUACUCUGUGUAAUGCUCUGGUACUCCCGGUUUCACGGCAGAAAAAAGGUCAAUUCAGAAAUAAGAACAGUAAGUAUGCUCAGAUACGUCAAUGCUCACCUGGGAAAAAAGAUGGCCAUCCUCUUCCCUAU
Pipistrellus kuhlii (Kuhl's pipistrelle) is the source of this 153-nucleotide long non-coding RNA. RefSeq lists it as uncharacterized. The record is from RefSeq and is a predicted model, not a curated record. The transcript has 3 exons. Lineage: Eukaryota; Metazoa; Chordata; Mammalia; Chiroptera; Vespertilionidae.